RNAcentral lists this ribosomal RNA (2826 nucleotides) under Serratia marcescens. RNAcentral describes it as "bacterial LSU rRNA". It matches the Rfam family "Bacterial large subunit ribosomal RNA". The record is from RNAcentral. Lineage: Bacteria; Pseudomonadati; Pseudomonadota; Gammaproteobacteria; Enterobacterales; Yersiniaceae.
AGCGUACACGGUGGAUGCCUAGGCAGUCAGAGGCGAUGAAGGGCGUGCUAAUCUGCGAAAAGCGUCGGUAAGGUGAUAUGAACCGUUACAACCGGCGAUACCCGAAUGGGGAAACCCAGUGUGUUUCGACACACUAUCAUGUCAUGAAUACAUAGUGGCAUGAGGCGAACCGGGGGAACUGAAACAUCUAAGUACCCCGAGGAAAAGAAAUCAACCGAGAUUCCCCCAGUAGCGGCGAGCGAACGGGGAGGAGCCCAGAACCUGAAUCGGCUUGUGUGUUAGUGGAAGCGUCUGGAAAGUCGCGCAGCAAAGGGUGAUAGCCCCGUACACUAAAAUGCACAGGUCGUGAGUUCGAUGAGUAGGGCGGGACACGUGACAUCCUGUCUGAAUAUGGGGGGACCAUCCUCCAAGGCUAAAUACUCCUGACUGACCGAUAGUGAACCAGUACCGUGAGGGAAAGGCGAAAAGAACCCCGGCGAGGGGAGUGAAAUAGAACCUGAAACCGUGUACGUACAAGCAGUGGGAGCACCUUCGUGGUGUGACUGCGUACCUUUUGUAUAAUGGGUCAGCGACUUAUAUUUUGUAGCAAGGUUAACCGUAUAGGGGAGCCGUAGGGAAACCGAGUCUUAACUGGGCGAAUAGUUGCAAGGUAUAGACCCGAAACCCGGUGAUCUAGCCAUGGGCAGGUUGAAGGUUGGGUAACACUAACUGGAGGACCGAACCGACUAAUGUUGAAAAAUUAGCGGAUGACUUGUGGCUGGGGGUGAAAGGCCAAUCAAACCGGGAGAUAGCUGGUUCUCCCCGAAAGCUAUUUAGGUAGCGCCUCGUGAACUCAUCUUCGGGGGUAGAGCACUGUUUCGGCUAGGGGGCCAUCCCGGCUUACCAAACCGAUGCAAACUCCGAAUACCGAAGAAUGUUAUCACGGGAGACACACGGCGGGUGCUAACGUCCGUCGUGAAGAGGGAAACAACCCAGACCGCCAGCUAAGGUCCCAAAGUCAUGGUUAAGUGGGAAACGAUGUGGGAAGGCAUAGACAGCCAGGAUGUUGGCUUAGAAGCAGCCAUCAUUUAAAGAAAGCGUAAUAGCUCACUGGUCGAGUCGGCCUGCGCGGAAGAUGUAACGGGGCUAAACCAUGCACCGAAGCUGCGGCAGCGACGCUUAGGCGUUGUUGGGUAGGGGAGCGUUCUGUAAGCCGUUGAAGGUGGCCUGUGAGGGUUGCUGGAGGUAUCAGAAGUGCGAAUGCUGACAUAAGUAACGAUAAAGCGGGUGAAAAGCCCGCUCGCCGGAAGACCAAGGGUUCCUGUCCAACGUUAAUCGGGGCAGGGUGAGUCGACCCCUAAGGCGAGGCUGAAAAGCGUAGUCGAUGGGAAACAGGUUAAUAUUCCUGUACUUGGUGUUACUGCGAAGGGGGGACGGAGAAGGCUAGGCUAGCCGGGCGACGGUUGUCCCGGUUUAAGCGUGUAGGGGGUGUGACCUGGUAAAUCCGGUUGCAUAUCAACCCUGAGGCGUGAUGACGAUGCACUACGGUGCAGAAGUAGUUGAUGCCCUGCUUCCAGGAAAAGCCUCUAAGCUCUAGGUAACAUUAAAUCGUACCCCAAACCGACACAGGUGGUCAGGUAGAGAAUACCAAGGCGCUUGAGAGAACUCGGGUGAAGGAACUAGGCAAAAUGGUGCCGUAACUUCGGGAGAAGGCACGCUGGCAUGUAGGUGAAGUCCCUUGCGGAUGGAGCUGAAGCCAGUCGAAGAUACCAGCUGGCUGCAACUGUUUAAUAAAAACACAGCACUGUGCAAACACGAAAGUGGACGUAUACGGUGUGACGCCUGCCCGGUGCUGGAAGGUUAAUUGAUGGGGUCAGCCGCAAGGCGAAGCUCUUGAUCGAAGCCCCAGUAAACGGCGGCCGUAACUAUAACGGUCCUAAGGUAGCGAAAUUCCUUGUCGGGUAAGUUCCGACCUGCACGAAUGGCGUAAUGAUGGCCAGGCUGUCUCCACCCGAGACUCAGUGAAAUUGAACUCGCUGUGAAGAUGCAGUGUACCCGCGGCAAGACGGAAAGACCCCGUGAACCUUUACUAUAGCUUGACACUGAACAUUGAGCCUUGAUGUGUAGGAUAGGUGGGAGGCUUUGAAGCGUGGACGCCAGUCUGCGUGGAGCCAUCCUUGAAAUACCACCCUUUAAUGUUUGAUGUUCUAACUCGGCCCCAUAAUCUGGGGUGAGGACAGUGUCUGGUGGGUAGUUUGACUGGGGCGGUCUCCUCCCAAAGAGUAACGGAGGAGCACGAAGGUUAGCUAAUCACGGUCGGACAUCGUGAGGUUAGUGCAAAGGCAUAAGCUAGCUUGACUGCGAGAGUGACGGCUCGAGCAGGUACGAAAGUAGGUCUUAGUGAUCCGGUGGUUCUGAAUGGAAGGGCCAUCGCUCAACGGAUAAAAGGUACUCCGGGGAUAACAGGCUGAUACCGCCCAAGAGUUCAUAUCGACGGCGGUGUUUGGCACCUCGAUGUCGGCUCAUCACAUCCUGGGGCUGAAGUAGGUCCCAAGGGUAUGGCUGUUCGCCAUUUAAAGUGGUACGCGAGCUGGGUUUAGAACGUCGUGAGACAGUUCGGUCCCUAUCUGCCGUGGGCGUUGGAAGAUUGAGAGGGGUUGCUCCUAGUACGAGAGGACCGGAGUGAACGCACCACUGGUGUUCGGGUUGUCAUGCCAAUGGCAUUGCCCGGUAGCUAAGUGCGGAAAAGAUAAGCGCUGAAAGCAUCUAAGCGCGAAACUUGCCUCAAGAUGAGUCUUCCCUGGGCCUUUAAGGUCCCUGAAGGAACGUUUAAGACUAAGACGUUGA